AUAAGACUGGGAUAACUCCGGGAAACCGGGGCUAAUACCGGAUAAUAUUUUGAACCGCAUGGUUCAAUAGUGAAAGACGGUUUCGGCUGUCACUUAUAGAUGGACCCGCGCCGUAUUAGCUAGUUGGUAAGGUAACGGCUUACCAAGGCGACGAUACGUAGCCGACCUGAGAGGGUGAUCGGCCACACUGGAACUGAGACACGGUCCAGACUCCUACGGGAGGCAGCAGUAGGGAAUCUUCCGCAAUGGGCGAAAGCCUGACGGAGCAACGCCGCGUGAGUGAUGAAGGUCUUCGGAUCGUAAAACUCUGUUGUUAGGGAAGAACAAAUUUGUUAGUAACUGAACAAGUCUUGACGGUACCUAACCAGAAAGCCACGGCUAACUACGUGCCAGCAGCCGCGGUAAUACGUAGGUGGCAAGCGUUAUCCGGAAUUAUUGGGCGUAAAGCGCGCGUAGGCGGUUUCUUAAGUCUGAUGUGAAAGCCCACGGCUCAACCGUGGAGGGUCAUUGGAAACUGGGAAACUUGAGUGCAGAAGAGGAGAGUGGAAUUCCAUGUGUAGCGGUGAAAUGCGCAGAGAUAUGGAGGAACACCAGUGGCGAAGGCGGCUCUCUGGUCUGUAACUGACGCUGAUGUGCGAAAGCGUGGGGAUCAAACAGGAUUAGAUACCCUGGUAGUCCACGCCGUAAACGAUGAGUGCUAAGU
RNAcentral lists this ribosomal RNA (703 nucleotides) under Mammaliicoccus sciuri. RNAcentral's name for it is "bacterial SSU rRNA". It matches the Rfam family "Bacterial small subunit ribosomal RNA", at positions 132 to 821 of the family's 1533-position model. Lineage: Bacteria; Bacillati; Bacillota; Bacilli; Caryophanales; Staphylococcaceae. The record is from RNAcentral.